This 24-nucleotide non-coding RNA is filed under the name Arabidopsis thaliana (thale cress). Lineage: Eukaryota; Viridiplantae; Streptophyta; Magnoliopsida; Brassicales; Brassicaceae. The record is from RNAcentral.
UCCGGUGAAACGGAAAAGAAGAGA